RNAcentral lists this ribosomal RNA (262 nucleotides) under uncultured bacterium. RNAcentral's name for it is "partial 16S ribosomal RNA". It matches the Rfam family "Bacterial small subunit ribosomal RNA", at positions 92 to 353 of the family's 1533-position model. The record is from RNAcentral.
CGACCGGCGCACGGGUGAGUAACACGUAUCCAACCUGCCGAUGACUCGGGGAUAGCCUUUCGAAAGAAAGAUUAAUACCCGAUGGCAUAGUUCUUCCGCAUGGUGGAACUAUUAAAGAAUUUCGGUCAUCGAUGGGGAUGCGUUCCAUUAGGUUGUUGGCGGGGUAACGGCCCACCAAGGCGACGAUCGGUAGCCGAACUGAGAGGUUGAUCGGCCGCAUUGGGACUGAGACACGGCCCAGACUCCUACGGGAGGCAGCAUG